This 464-nucleotide ribosomal RNA is filed under the name uncultured bacterium. RNAcentral's name for it is "partial 16S ribosomal RNA". It matches the Rfam family "Bacterial small subunit ribosomal RNA", at positions 339 to 795 of the family's 1533-position model. The record is from RNAcentral.
CUACGGGGCGCAGCAGUGGGGAAUAUUGCACAAUGGGCGCAAGCCUGAUGCAGCCAUGCCGCGUGUAUGAAGAAGGCCUUCGGGUUGUAAAGUACUUUCAGCGGGGAGGAAGGGAGUAAAGUUAAUACCUUUGCUCAUUGACGUUACCCGCAGAAGAAGCACCGGCUAACUCCGUGCCAGCAGCCGCGGUAAUACGGAGGGUACAAGCGUUAAUCGGAAUUACUGGGCGUAAAGCGCACGCAGGCGGUGUGUUAAGUCAGGUGUGAAAUCCCCGGGCUCAACCUGGGAACUGCAUCUGAUACUGGCAAGCUUGAGUCUCGUAGAGGGGGGUAGAAUUCCAGGUGUAGCGGUGAAAUGCGUAGAGAUCUGGAGGAAUACCGGUGGCGAAGGCGGCCCCCUGGACGAAGACUGACGCUCAGGUGCGAAAGCGUGGGGAGCAAACAGGAUUAGAUACCCCCGUAGUC